This is a non-coding RNA of Camelina sativa (false flax), 1344 nucleotides long. The record is from RefSeq and is a predicted model, not a curated record. Lineage: Eukaryota; Viridiplantae; Streptophyta; Magnoliopsida; Brassicales; Brassicaceae.
GCAACACUUAGAAAAAUUAAGUAACACUUUCCUUUAUUAUAUUGUUUGGAGACAGACAUAAAAAAAAAAAAGUUUAGACCCGAAAAAAAAAACUUUGCAGAUCUCUUCUCCUCUCUGUCGUUGAUGUCUGACCUACUCUUCCACCUUCUUCGCCGGUAUGGCUGAACCGCGCUCCCCCACCCUCAUACUCCUCGUCCACCUCCUCCGUCUCUCUUUCAUUCGACCCAGCUAACCCAAACCCUAAAUCACCUUCAAUCGAAUCUACGUGCCUAUCUUGCCUAUAAGACUAGAAUUGAAGAUUCAUUCUCUUCGUGGUUUCAACAAGCCUAAAUGAAUUCAAUGUGGCAAUGUCUCUCGUUUUGGUUAAGCCUCUUUCUCUCUUGCGAUGGUGAAUUCUGUUCGUGUUUAAUCUGAUAGGGGGUUAAUUUAGGGUUUAUUCGGGUUUGAAUUUGGUGUUGUUUAAUUUUUUUUUUUUUUUUUUUGAAUUGUGCUGGAUUUGUGAAUUUUGUUAUGGGGUUUGGAUUAUGUUUGAAUUAUUAUUCUGCUUAAGAGUAUUUUGUUUAAUCGCUCACAAAUUCAGCUUAUAAAUGACUUAAUUAUAUGUUAGUUAUCAUAUCUUUUGAUUUUGUUUCUUCGUAUCGGGUGAAUUAGGAAUAGAGACAGCAAACUUAGGUUUAUUUUUUGUUCUUCUGUUUUAAGAUUCUGUGUUUUGCUAUUUUUGAGAGGUUGACUUUUGGUUUGUUUGUCUUCUCGAUUUCCUAUCCCUUUUAUCUCGAUCUCUAAUCUCAUAUUGAAAUUGUUAUCAAACCAUGUGUUUCUAAUAGCUGAUAAUCUGAAUUCAUUGGAUGUUGGAACAGAACAUUCAUUAUUGUUCUUUGUUGCAAAUAGUGUAUCUGAUUUUAACGAGAAGAGGUAAAUUAAACAUUCAUUUUUGGUCCUUGUUAAACUUUUCUUAAAUUGGCAAGUAAAAACAAUUUGCAGGUCUGCUAAAGCUUUGUAGUUUAGCUGUGCUUGUUUGUUUUUAGCUGCUAAAUUUGAAGAGAUAUCCGUUUCUCUCUCAGGAACCACGGUUAGAGUCUAAGCCUCUCUCACAUGCGUUAAGAGAAGACAGAACAUCCCAGUUCUUACAAAUGUUUUUGGAUGUAGGAAGUUGCUACUUUUGGGACUGUAAGUCGUCCUUAAGUAUUCUUGUGAGACUGAGUUUCUCGAUAAAUUGGAGAUGGUGAGUAUUGAUGGCUGCAAGAAAGGUCAAGUUCAGUUUAUUUCAGUUUCCAGUGGGUGGUAUUCACAGGCAACUCAAGUGCACAUGGUAGAGUUGGUGCCACCGCUGCCGUCUGCUGCUUC